Molecule: long non-coding RNA, 310 nt
Filed under: Mytilus galloprovincialis (Mediterranean mussel)
Lineage: Eukaryota; Metazoa; Mollusca; Bivalvia; Mytilida; Mytilidae
Source: RNAcentral
AAAAAUUCUUACAAGAUUAUCCCAAGGGUACCUCAUUUUUGCAAGACUUUAAGCAUCUUUCAGUAUGAUAAAAGUGAUUUUGCUGUCUGAAUAUACUGAAGAUAUGAAAAAUGUCGUACAGCUGUUAAAAGAAGCAGCCUUAUCUUCACCAGCUCACAAUGAUAAAUUGUAGUUUCUGGACAAUCAUGACAACACAAUUGAUCAUGGUAUAACUUGAACUAUGACCUAUCCAUUGCAUGUCUCUAUGUUGAUGUUCACUUUUGUUAUAAUUCAGUUUUAGUUUAAAAUUUUAUAUUAGAAUAGUCCAGGC